This 1475-nucleotide long non-coding RNA is filed under the name Gadus morhua (Atlantic cod). RNAcentral describes it as "lncRNA (ENSGMOG00000028242.1)". Lineage: Eukaryota; Metazoa; Chordata; Actinopteri; Gadiformes; Gadidae. The record is from RNAcentral.
ACUCCGUGGCCUCGGUACGGAGAGGUGAGCUCAGGCCACGCUACAGAGGCUAAUGAGCCGACACGCGCACACGCACGGAUACGCAACCUGAGCUGGGUGACGUAUAGUCCAUGCAACCGUACUCAGGCCCAGUUGAGAUUAACUAUUGUUAGCACAGCCCAGCGGCACAGUCGGUCUCUCCUCUCCCCUCCCGUCUCCGCCCGUCCCUCCCAGUGGCUGUGCCAGUUCUCAGUGUUUCCUCUCCUCUCCCAGUGGCUGUGCCCGUUCUCAGUGUUUCCUCUCCUCUCCCAGUGGCUGUGCCCGUUCUCAGUGUUUCCUCUCCUCUCCCAGUUCUCAGUGUUUCCUCUCCUCUCCCAGUGGCUGUGCCAGUUCUCAGUGUUUCCUCUCCUCUCCCAGUGGCUGUGCCAGUUCUCAGUGUUUCCUCUCCUCUCCCAGUGGCUGUGCCCGUUCUCAGUGUUUCCUCUCCUCUCCCAGUUCUCAGUGUUUCCUCUCCUCUCCCAGUGGCUGUGCCCGUUCUCAGUGUUUCCUCUCCUCUCCCAGUGGCUGUGCCCGUUCUCAGUGUUUCCUCUCCUCUCCCAGUGGCUGUGCCCGUUCUCAGUGUUUCCUCUCCUCUCCCAGUUCUCAGUGUUUCCUCUCCUCUCCCAGUGGCUGUGCCAGUUCUCAGUGUUUCCUCUCCUCUCCCAGUGGCUGUGCCAGUUCUCAGUGUUUCCUCUCCUCUCCCAGUUCUCAGUGUUUCCUCUCCUCUCCCAGUGGGUGUCCCAGUUCUCAGUGUUUCCUCUCCUCUCCCAGUGGGUGUGCCAGUUCUGCACCUACCUCAACUACUCGCCCUCCACCGUGUGCGAGAUGUGCGACCUGGCCCGCCCCGAGCCGGCGCCCAUGCCCGUGAAGCUCCGCCCCCCGUCGCCCGUGCGGCGCGUCCCGGCGCUGCCCGUCAAACCCAAGAACCCGCCCCCAGAGGAGCCGGAGGCGCGGCGGCAGCGUCUGCUCCAGGAGGAGGGACUCCGGCUGAUCCAGCUCAUCAGGGACGGGGAGAAGCGGGACCUGAGCCCUGAGGAGGUGUACACCGGCAUGCGGGUGGCCGGCGACACCAGCGUCCUGCCCUGUGAGUGGCUGAGGGACGAGCUCCCCCUGCUGCUGGACCACAUCUGUGAGCUGGUGGCCAACUCCGCCCCCCCGGGAAGCUCCGCCUCCAGCACCCAGCCCACCACGGAGCUCACUGUAAGUCACUCAACAGAGAUGUGUGUUUAUAUAUAUAUAUAUAUAUAUAUAUAUAUACAAGAUAUUAUAUAUUAGGGCUGGGUAAAAAUUUAGAUUCUAAAUGCACUGCAAUUUAAUUGUUCUCGAUUCAAUUUCGAUUCAGAAUUUUUUUGAAAUCGAUUAUUUCCCAAAAAAAAUGAAGCAUAGUUAUGGUAAUCUAGUAGCGAAUAUGCCUAAAUGUACAUGUCCUUUUACAUUUGUCCAUGUUAUGAUUAUUA